RNAcentral lists this ribosomal RNA (253 nucleotides) under uncultured bacterium. RNAcentral describes it as "partial 16S ribosomal RNA". It matches the Rfam family "Bacterial small subunit ribosomal RNA", at positions 524 to 776 of the family's 1533-position model. The record is from RNAcentral.
UACGUAGGGCGCAAGCGUUAUCCGGAAUUAUUGGGCGUAAAGAGCUCGUAGGCGGUUUGUCGCGUCUGCCGUGAAAGUCCGGGGCUCAACUCCGGAUCUGCGGUGGGUACGGGCAGACUAGAGUGAUGUAGGGGAGACUGGAAUUCCUGGUGUAGCGGUGAAAUGCGCAGAUAUCAGGAGGAACACCGGUGGCGAAGGCGGAUCUCUGGGCCGUAACUGACGCUGAGGAGCGAAAGCAUGGGGAGCGAACAGG